GUGUUCGCUUCAGCAGCACAUGUACUAAAAUUGGAAUGAUACAGAGAUGAUCAGCAUGGUCCCUGCACAAAGAUGAUGCACAAAUUCAUAAAGAUAUUUAGAGGGUUGUU
Dromiciops gliroides (monito del monte) is the source of this 110-nucleotide small nuclear RNA. Lineage: Eukaryota; Metazoa; Chordata; Mammalia; Microbiotheria; Microbiotheriidae. The record is from RefSeq and is a predicted model, not a curated record.